RNAcentral lists this ribosomal RNA (501 nucleotides) under uncultured bacterium. RNAcentral's name for it is "partial 16S ribosomal RNA". It matches the Rfam family "Bacterial small subunit ribosomal RNA", at positions 30 to 523 of the family's 1533-position model. The record is from RNAcentral.
AUUGAACGCUGGCGGCAGGCUUAACACAUGCAAGUCGAGCGGGGGAAGGUAGCUUGCUACCGGACCUAGCGGCGGACGGGUGAGUAAUGCUUAGGAAUCUGCCUAUUAGUGGGGGACAACAUCUCGAAAGGGACGCUAAUACCGCAUACGUCCUACGGGAGAAAGCAGGGGAUCUUCGGACCUUGCGCUAAUAGAUGAGCCUAAGUCGGAUUUGCUAGUUGGUGGGGUAAAGGACUACCAAGGCGACGAUCUGUAGCGGGUCUGAGAGGAUGGUCCGCCACACUGGGACUGAGACACAGCCCAGACUCCUACGGGAGGUAGCAGUGGGGAAUAUUGGACAAUGGGGGGAACCCUGAUCCAGCCAUGCCGCGUGUGUGAAGAAGGCCUUAUGGUUGUAAAGCACUUUAAGCGAGGAGGAGGCUACUUUAGUUAAUACCUAGAGAUAGUGGACGUUACUCGCAGAAUAAGCACCGGCUAACUCUGUGCCAGCAGCCGCCGUAA